CGCGGGGUGGAGCUGCCUGGUAGCUCGUCGGGCUCAUAACCCGAAGGUCGUCGGUUCAAAUCCGGCCCCCGCAACCA
RNAcentral lists this transfer RNA (77 nucleotides) under Escherichia coli. RNAcentral's name for it is "tRNA-Met". It matches the Rfam family "tRNA". From Rfam's summary of the family: Transfer RNA (tRNA) molecules are approximately 80 nucleotides in length. Their secondary structure includes four short double-helical elements and three loops (D, anti-codon, and T loops). RNAcentral also lists the same sequence under 1 other name. Lineage: Bacteria; Pseudomonadati; Pseudomonadota; Gammaproteobacteria; Enterobacterales; Enterobacteriaceae. The record is from RNAcentral.